AUACAGGUGGGCGCCUAUUUAAACUAAGACUAAAAAGUAUUCCUCUCGUUAUACAGGUGGGCGCCUAUUUAAACUAAGACUGAAAAGUAUUCCUCUCGUUAUACAGGUGGGCGCCUAUUUAAACUAAGACUGAAAAGUAUUCCUCUCGUUAUACAGGUGGGCGCCUAUUUAAACUAAGACAUGAAAAUUAUUCCUCUCGUUAUACAGGUGGGCGCCUAUUUAAACUAAGACUGAAAAAUAUUCCUCUCGUUAUACAAGUGGGCGCCUAUUUAAACUAAGACUGAAAAAUAUUCCUCUCGUUAUACAGGUGGGCGCCUAUUUAAACUAAGACUAAAAAGUAUUCCUCUCGUUAUACAGGUGGGCGCCUAUUUAAACUAAGACUGAAAAGUAUUCCUCUCGUUAUACAGGUGGGCGCCUAUUUAAACUA
This 427-nucleotide long non-coding RNA is filed under the name Nicotiana tabacum (common tobacco). RNAcentral describes it as "long non-coding RNA (NTAB_LNC006620)". Lineage: Eukaryota; Viridiplantae; Streptophyta; Magnoliopsida; Solanales; Solanaceae. The record is from RNAcentral.